Molecule: ribosomal RNA, 253 nt
Filed under: uncultured bacterium
Lineage: Bacteria
Description: partial 16S ribosomal RNA
Rfam family: Bacterial small subunit ribosomal RNA
Source: RNAcentral
UACGGAGGAUGCAAGCGUUAUCCGGAUUCAUUGGGUUUAAAGGGUGCGUAGGCGGGUUGAUAAGUCAGUGGUGAAAUCCUGCAGCUUAACUGUAGAACUGCCAUUGAUACUGUUAACCUUGAAUGCAGUUGAGGUAGGCGGAAUGUGUAAUGUAGCGGUGAAAUGCGUAGAUAUUACACAGAACACCGAUUGCGAAGGCAGCUUGCUAAACUGUGAUUGACGCUGAGGCACGAAAGCGUGGGGAUCAAACAGG